RNAcentral lists this ribosomal RNA (492 nucleotides) under uncultured bacterium. RNAcentral describes it as "partial 16S ribosomal RNA". It matches the Rfam family "Bacterial small subunit ribosomal RNA", at positions 359 to 861 of the family's 1533-position model. The record is from RNAcentral.
AAUAUUUGCACAAUGGGCGAAAGCCUGAUGCAGCAACGCCGCGUGAGCGAUGAAGGCCUUCGGGUCGUAAAGCUCUGUCCUCAAGGAAGAAAUGACGGUACUUGAGGAGGAAGCCCCGGCUAACUACGUGCCAGCAGCCGCGGUAAUACGUAGGGGGCUAGCGUUAUCCGGAAUUACUGGGCGUAAAGGGGGGGUAGGGGGUUUCUUAAGUCAGAGGUGAAAGGCUACGGUUCAACCGUAGUAGGCCUUUGAAACUGGGAAACUUGAGUGCGGGAGAGGAGAGUGGAAUUCUUAGUGUAGCGGUGAAAUGCGUAGAUUUUAUGGGGGAACACCAGUUGCGAAGGCGGCUCUCUGGGGCUGUACCUGACACUGAGGCACGAAAGCGUGGGGGGGCAAACAGGGAUUAGAAAACCCUGGUGGGUCCACGCCGUAAACGAUGAGGACCUAGCUGUCGAAGGUUAACCCCCCUUCCGGGGGGGCAGCUACGGCAUU